UGCAGUCGAGGGGCAGCAUAAUGGAUAGCAAUAUCUAUGGUGGCGACCGGCGCACGGGUGCGUAGCGCGUAUGCAACCUACCUUUAACAGGGGGAUAACACUGAGAAAUUGGUACUAAUACCCCAUAAUAUCAUAGAAGGCAUCUUUUAUGGUUGAAAAUUCCGAUGGUUAGAGAUGGGCAUGCGUUGUAUUAGCUAGUUGGUGGGGUAACGGCUCACCAAGGCGACGAUACAUAGGGGGACUGAGAGGUUAACCCCCCACACUGGUACUGAGACACGGACCAGACUCCUACGGGAGGCAGCAGUGAGGAAUAUUGGUCAAUGGACGCAAGUCUGAACCAGCCAUGCCGCGUGCAGGAUGACGGCUCUAUGAGUUGUAAACUGCUUUUGUACGAGGGUAAACGCAGAUACGUGUAUCUGUCUGAAAGUAUCGUACGAAUAAGGAUCGGCUAACUCCGUGCCAGCAGCCGCGGUAAUACGGAGGAUUCAAGCGUUAUCCGGAUUUAUUGGGUUUAAAGGGUGCGUAGGCGGUUUGAUAAGUUAGAGGUGAAAUUUCGGGGCUCAACCCUGAACGUGCCUCUAUACUGUUGAGCUAGAGAGUAGUUGCGGUAGGCGGAAUGUAUGGUGUAGCGGUGAAAUGCUUAGAGAUCAUACAGAACACCGAUUGCGAAAGGCAGCUUACCAAACUAUAUCUGA
RNAcentral lists this ribosomal RNA (695 nucleotides) under uncultured bacterium. Its description in RNAcentral is "bacterial SSU rRNA". It matches the Rfam family "Bacterial small subunit ribosomal RNA", at positions 56 to 743 of the family's 1533-position model. The record is from RNAcentral.